Long non-coding RNA from Cynoglossus semilaevis (tongue sole), 936 nucleotides. RefSeq lists it as uncharacterized. Lineage: Eukaryota; Metazoa; Chordata; Actinopteri; Pleuronectiformes; Cynoglossidae. The transcript is spliced from 2 exons. The record is from RefSeq and is a predicted model, not a curated record.
GUAUUUUAGUCACCCCUGUUGAUACAGCACGUUUAAAAGAGAGACAGUGAGACAGACAAAUGUUGGGUUUGGUAAAUGAAAAAUCAUCUUUAAUAGAUUCCAUUACACAUGUAAAAAUAAUUACUUUAUUUGGGCCAUAGUUGAAUAAAUAGAUAAAUAGAUAAAUAGAUAAAUAAAUAUUACAUCAACAGGUUUUAGUCAAGUAGAGAUGAGACCAGAAGAUCUGCUCUGGUGAGAUGAUAUUCCAUUUCUGUUCUGACCAGCUCCCAGGCUUCAGCGCUGUGGCCCUACACAAAUAACAAUGGAGAAUAUGAUCAUUAUUCAUAGAUAGAUAGAUAGAUAGAUAGAUAGAAGGACAGACAGACAGACAGACAGACAGAUACCUGUCUUUCUAGGAUGUGGCAUGAAAGUCUCUUGAAAUACAGCUGCAGCUUCUUGUUCUUCUUCUUGUGGCUGUGUUCACCAAUCUAAAUAUGUAAGAGAUACAUUUAUUUAUUAAGUGUGUUUUAUUAAUCCAAUCUAAUGCGGUGAAACAUCCACUGUGACACUCACACAGGAGCGGAGGUGGUUAAUCUGCUGUGACACAAGAUUGAAGAAGUUCUUCAGUGUUCUCUCUUCCCAUGAUGUCGCGCUGUGAUCCUCAUGCAGCAGAUCAACCAUCUCCUCCAGAACCUGAGCUGUGAAACCAAGUUUAACCUCCGCCUGAAGGAAGAGGAAGAAACAACACAGACAGAUCAUCAGGAAAGGCCACAGUCUCCUCCAGGGCAGCAUCCUCUGUGGUGUUGGUGGAGUUAUUAGUCUGUAUCACACACACACAUCAUGUGUUACAGGGGAAAGAAGAUUAAAUUAGUGUUUCAAAUGUUUAUUGUCAAACUAAUGAUAAUAAUAACAAUGAUAAUAGUCAUCAAUUCAAGACAACCUGAACAUUAGUGAGUC